Ipomoea triloba (trilobed morning glory) is the source of this 2051-nucleotide RNA transcript. RefSeq lists it as uncharacterized. NCBI's taxonomy places the organism in Eukaryota, Viridiplantae, Streptophyta, Magnoliopsida, Solanales, Convolvulaceae. The transcript has 8 exons. The record is from RefSeq and is a predicted model, not a curated record.
CUCAGGACGAAAAAGUUCGAUCGGCAAUGACCGGAGUAAUUUGUGCUGCAUCAAAUGAAGAUCAGACUCUCUUACUCUCUUCGUCGUCUUCGAUCUUCUGCUUCUCCCAGCCGACGGCCGACGCAGCCACUCACCGUCGCCCAGGACGCAGUCACGAGCCAGCGAUCUCCGGCAACCACUCCCAGCGAGGCAGCGAGUCAGUGAUAGAAGAAAUGGAUCAGCAAGCAGCAGCAAUGCCGGCGGAUAAUGAAUUGCUGGAGAAACGGCCCGGAGUGCUCAUCGUUGGAGCUCCUAAUGUUGGCAAACGUACACUCCUCUCUCGACUACUUUCAAUAGAUUUGGACGACACUUCUGAUACAUCAUCCGGCUUACUUGCCUAUGGGUGGACGAUCAACACAAAGUACUACACAGCUGAUGUUUCUCUUUGGAUGGCCAAUCUUCAUGAGAAGUUUUCAGUUGAAGCCCUCCCAAUAUCUGAUCAGCUGGCUGCAUUAGUGAUGGUUUUCGAUAUAAGUGAUUUAUUGUCUUUUCUUGAACUUAAAGAUUGGGUGUCACACACUGAUAUCUCGAAGUUUGAUAUUUUGUUAUGCAUUGGCAACAAAGUGGAUCUUCUUCCUGGUCAUUCAGCUCAUGUUGAGUAUAGACGUCGUCUGCUGAAAUGUGCAGAAUCUUCAGGUAGUUCUUACACAGAAAUAUUAGACACUGGUAUUGAUGAGACAGAAGGGAGUAGUCUAUUAGGCGAUGACGAAUCCUCAUGGGAGAUUAAGCAAGCAUGCUUGCAAUGGUGCAUUGAACUCAACAUUGAAUACGUUGAAGCCUGUGCAUCAAAUGUUGACUUUGACAAGUGUUUAUCUGUCGAUGGCGAUUCACAGGGUGUUGAGCGACUCCAAGGGGCACUGUCAGCUUAUAUGUGGCCUGGAAUGGUACUUAAGUCUGGUGAUAAAAUAAAUGAACCUUCAUUGCCUCAAGAACAAGAUGUGUCAGAUGAAGAAUCCGAAUACGAACUUGAAUAUGAAAUCCUAUCUGCUGGUUCAGCAGAGCCCUGGGAUGAUGUAGAUGGAGGCUGGAUAUCUGCAGAUGGGCCUGUUACAACAACAGGGACAGCAGAAUCAAGCAAACAGAAAGAGAAUGGUUCUGAAGGAGAGGUGGGGCCUUCAACAUUGGAAUCUCAGCUGCCGGGAGUGAUUGAAAAAGAAGAAAUACCAGGAAAAGAUGAAGCUGACAUAGUAUCUGAGGCUGAUAAGGGCACAACAUACAAUUUUGAGGAUUUGGAGCAGUUAAUGGCUGAGAUUGGAAAUGUGCGUGAUAGCUUAAGAUUGAUGCCAGAUUUUCAAAGGAGGGAAAUGGCAGCCAAUCUGGCCAUGAAAAUGGCAACCAUGUUUGGUGAUAGCAGUGGAGAUGAAGAAGGAUUAGAUUGAUACGAGAAGACUUUUGAAGUGUUCUGUACCGUUGAUGCCUAUUAGCAACCAAAUCUAUCACAGAUGUUUAUCAACUAUUGAAAACAUGUUCACCUAUUUUGUACAAACAAAGUGAAAUCUAUGGGCUCCUGCUAAUGUUCUGUUCUUAAGGUAGGAUCUCCUCUUGUCCCAUGAAAGGUCUACGCAGGAUGAACAAAGAACGUGGAUGCUUAGCUGCCGUAAAUGUAGACUUUCAUGGUCAAGAGUCAGUAAGUUAUGAUUUGCUACUGGAGCUGUCGAGCUGCUAUUAGAGGAAGUUUUAGGUGCCUGGUGGGCAGAAGUUAGUAGAAUGGGAUUUGGGUCAAAAUAUGGUAGUGGAAAAUCCAUGAAAAUAACAUAAAUUUCAUCUUUAAAAAAAAAUAAAAAUCUGGGCAGGCAGACAUACUAGAUGACAGAUAAGGUAGGAAGUGGGAUUAUUCUGGUUGAUUUUGAUGUCUAGUGCACUUGUUCUGUAGCAGGAGAUAUAUUCUCAACCUCUUUGGAUGGAUAACCUUAACUUCACCAUUAGACAUCCAUUGUUGUAGAAUAUGACCAAUUGUUGUAUGCUUAAUUUGCAACUGGCAAUAUAUUUAUGUGUUAGUGUUAGAAGAUUGA